GGGGAAUAUUGCACAAUGGGCGAAAGCCUGAUGCAGCGACGCCGCGUGAGGGAUGACGGCCUUCGGGUUGUAAACCUCUUUCAGCAGGGAAGAAGCGACAGUGACGGUACCUGCAGAAGAAGCGCCGGCUAACUACGUGCCAGCAGCCGCGGUAAUACGUAGGGGGCAAGCGUUAUCCGGAUUUACUGGGUGUAAAGGGAGCGUAGGUGGUUCGGCAAGUCAGAUGUGAAAGCCCGGGGCUCAACCCCGGGACUGCAUUUGAAACUGUCGGGCUAGAGUGCAGGAGAGGUAAGUGGAAUUCCUAGUGUAGCGGUGAAAUGCGUAGAUAUUAGGAGGAACACCAGUGGCGAAGGCGGCUUACUGGACUGUAACUGACACUGAUGCUCGAAAGCGGGGGGAGCAAACA
RNAcentral lists this ribosomal RNA (406 nucleotides) under uncultured Lachnospiraceae bacterium. RNAcentral describes it as "bacterial SSU rRNA". It matches the Rfam family "Bacterial small subunit ribosomal RNA", at positions 356 to 774 of the family's 1533-position model. Lineage: Bacteria; Bacillati; Bacillota; Clostridia; Lachnospirales; Lachnospiraceae. The record is from RNAcentral.